GCAGAGAGCUGCCCUGAAGCACAUUCACUUUUUCCACCUCUGCUACCAUGACAAGUUACUUCUGGCCCAGGGGGAGAAGCCGGCAGCAGAAGGCAUUCCUCACCACAGCAAGACUCACCAGAACUUGUCAGGACCUGGAGCAUCGCAGUACCUGCUCUUUGUUCACACCGAUUUUGCCCAGUGACUAUCAGAGCAAUGCUCCCUGGGAAGAGGCUUUGUGCCACAGCCCAUUAACAUCUCGCUGAAACUAAUUUCAAAGUAAAUGCUUGGCAGGUUGUGCUGACACGCUGUCCAACAGUCACCUCGGCUCACCUUUCGCUGCCCCCCGAGUCCCCAGGACACGUUGUGCCCUCCCACACCACCUCCCCAGGGAAGGAGCAGUAACUCCCCCAGCCCACCUGAUGCUGUAUUUGUGACUCCGUUCACUGUGCCGUCCACAUCUCUCUCGUCCUCAGCAUAGCUCAUCAUUAAGGCUCUCUGGCGAUCCGUCAGCCUCCUGCAGGUCAAAGACAGAGCUGGUGGUUACGGCUGCCUUCACCUCCUCGGGCAGCACACGCAACAGGCAGCUACUAGAAGCACAAGAUUAAUCUGGCAUUCACCACGAAUCCCUGUGACCAAUUUAUAAAGAGCAAGCCCCAGUGGAAGAGGAGAGAGAUGACCCACUGCAGUUCACCAAACUGUAGGGAAACAGCAAAACCUUUUCAAGUGCUGAGAGAAACAUCUGGAGCUGCAGCAGCACAAACAUCUGUGGGGGGAGGCCUCAGGAAAUGAACUCCCUUGCUGCGUGCAGCAAUGCAAACUAAAAAGUUUGCUUCACCACAGAAGCAGAGGGUGGUGAGGCAGCCUGAAAAACAAUUGCCAAGGACCUCAGUUACUUGAAGCUGCAGGUAUAAGAGCACAGACGGACGUGUUGUGAGCCAGAACACUGAAUUUACAUAACUGGGUUCCAGACAAAAAGUGGCAGAAAUCCAGGCUUCAAAAUAAGAUGGGAGAGAUCUGGCAGGUUCGUGCAUCUGAACAUGUACAGAGGCUGAGUCAACAAGGAUGGGAAAGCUUGUAAAGAACCUAGCAGGGUUCAGAUGACUUCGGAAGGGAUUUGUGCAGCAAUCCACCCAGCUGCUCCUGUCCCUGUCCCCACACAGUGAGCUGGAAAGGAGGUGGGCCCAAGCAGGUCGCAAGCUACCUGACACUCAGUGCUGAAGAAGUCUGGCACUUGAUACUGGGGGACCUGGGAGAUCUGCAGUAUCUCUGCAGCAAAGCGGGGCUCUGAUGUCCCACAGUGAUCUAUGCCCGAGCUCUUCCACGUAACGGUACCUACCGUGAUAUUGAUUGUCUCGUACAAGCCUUGACAUCUGGCUGUACCUCCCAGAACAGCCUGUGCUACUGAAAUAAGGAGGUCUGAAUGGAUAUCUGCGCCAUUUCUUCUGAACACGGAACUUUUUUGAACCUGAAAGGCAGGCAGUUGCAAAAAGUAGUUAGCAGAACAAUACAGAGUUAUUGCGGUAAACUGUUUGGAAAGGUCUCAGCAGAGAACACCAGAAAGCUGCAGCCAGACCCUUCACCGCCCACAAGCCACGUGGCUAACAAGUCUAGGUUAACGUUCAGUCUUUUAGAGAAUCACAGCUCUUGACAUAACCGUAACUAGCCAGAGGCUCAGGGCUCAGCAGCUCCCUCCUCUAAUCCCGUUUGUUAAUUCAGUGUCAGUACGAUUCUGCAGAGACAAAGACCACACUGUCUUGUCCAGUACCCCAAAAAAAGGAAAGCCUGAAGAGGGAAGCAGGAACCUGUGCAGUGGCCUCACAAGCUGGAAGAGAAUUAAAUCCUCCUGCACCACCAAGGUACUGAAAAAAAAAAA
This is a non-coding RNA of Anas platyrhynchos (mallard), 1855 nucleotides long. Lineage: Eukaryota; Metazoa; Chordata; Aves; Anseriformes; Anatidae. The record is from RefSeq and is a predicted model, not a curated record.